CACAACCUGCCCAAGCUGGCACCAAGAUCUAGGACGUUGCAGCUUUCAGACCCAUGAGAAACAACUUUCUGUACUGAAACUACUCAGCCCGUGGUAUUUGUUAUCGUAGAAGGUUGGUCACCUUCAGUACAGCUUCCUGUCUGUGUCCUGGCUCCUCUGCUGUUUUCUACUGGCCCUGUCUGUCAGUGGCCCUGAUGCAAGCCCGAGGACCACCCAGAUAUGGGGCCGAGAUGCUGGCAUGGAGUCAGAAGAACCGGAUGAGGGACUCCCCUCUGCCUCUUCUUAACUGUGUGCCCCGGUAAGUCACUUUACCCUCUGAAUAGUUUCCUCCACUGUAAAAGGGUUGGAAGUGGGGAUUGAGAAAGAAUGUGGAGCUAAAAGCAUUCGACAAACCACACAGUGCUUUUCAGAAUAUCAGAGCCUCUGUGCAGCCCUCACCCGCUCUCCACUACUGCUGAGCUCUGCAAACCUGUUCAGAUUCCAGCUCUGUGACUCCACCUGCCAAGUGGGUCCCUGAGGAUGUCCUAGAAAGUACUUUCACCACCUCUCUAUGUUAACAGCUCAAAAUCUCCAGACACUUCUGAUUACCAGGUCUCUUUUGAGCACACGAUGGUUUUCUUCCUCAAAAUUCUUAAAAAGAAAAAAAAGAAUGCUUGAAAGGCAGUCGGGGCUGGCAGAAGUUGGACUCUCAUUGUCAGCUGAGGAAGGAGGCUGCGAAAGGAAAUGGGAAGAAAGCAGAUACACCGAUAGGCAAGCUGGUGUCCUUCCAGCACCAAAUUCCCAGGAGAAAAAGGAUCAACCAGAAGGCAACACACAGAUCAUUGUAACGAUUACAUAUGCAUCAGUCUGGUGGCCUCUGCCCAGCUGAGGGCUCACUUCCCUCCGGAAGCUGUGCACCAAAGCAGUCUGAUGCAGGAUCAACCAAAUGUGUGAUGUGCAUCACGCAGUGCUCUUAUGAGAGGAGUAAACAGUAUGACGAGCAAGCGGCUGUCAUUUGUCUCAAAAUGUCUCCAUUCUGAGAAUUGCAGACUGAAGAUAAGAGCUGUCAAUCAGCAGUCUUGAACAUUGUUAAUGCUGGCAAAGACUCUUUUCAAUCUUUUCUAAAGAAGAAAGCAAAAACUCCUGAGCCAGGUUCCUAACAUCAAAAUUGGUCCAAGAACUUAUCAAUCAAUCAAUCAAUCAAUCAAUCAAUUCAAUAAAUAUUUAUGGAUUGUCUACCAUGUGCUAGGCACUUUGGUAGGUGCCACAGAGAAUAUUGAACAAAAAGAUUCUUUCCUCUCUUGGAACUUGAACUUUAGGAAGUAGAUAACAAGGAUUAGCAGACUAUACCCCCCAGGUCAAAUCCAGUUUACCACCUGUUUUUGUAAAUAAAGU
This 1374-nucleotide long non-coding RNA is filed under the name Cavia porcellus (domestic guinea pig). Its description in RNAcentral is "lncRNA (ENSCPOG00000039818.1)". Lineage: Eukaryota; Metazoa; Chordata; Mammalia; Rodentia; Caviidae. The record is from RNAcentral.